This 614-nucleotide ribosomal RNA is filed under the name uncultured bacterium. RNAcentral's name for it is "partial 16S ribosomal RNA". The record is from RNAcentral.
ACGGCUACCUUGUUACGACUUAGCCCCAGUCACCGGUUUUACCCUAGGGCGCUCCUCGCGGUCACGCACUUCAGGUACCCCCGGCUUCCAUGGCUUGACGGGCGGUGUGUACAAGGCCCGGGAACGUAUUCACCGCGCCGUGGCUGAUGCGCGAUUACUAGCGAAUCCAGCUUCAUGGAGUCGGGUUGCAGACUCCAAUCCGAACUGAGACAGGUUUUCGGGUUCAGCGCCGGGUCGCCCCGUGGCAUCCCGCUGUACCUGCCAUUGUAACACGUGUGUCGCCCCGGACGUAAGGGCCGUGCUGAUUUGACGUCAUCCCCGCCUUCCUCGCAGCUUGCGCCGGCAGUCUCCACAGAGUCCCCAGCUUUACCUGCUGGCAACUGUGGACAGGGGUUGCGCUCGUUAUGGCACUUAAGCCGACACCUCACGGCACGAGCUGACGACAACCAUGCAGCACCUCGCAGAAUGUCCGAAGAAAGGCCCCUUUCGGGACCCGUCAUCCUGCGUUUGAGCCCGGGUAAGGUUCCUCGCGUAUCAUCGAAUUAAACCACAUGUUCCUCCGCUUGUGCGGGCCCCCGUCAAUUCCUUUGAGUUUCACCGUUGCCGGCGUACUC